AUACUUACCUGGAUGGGGUCUAUGGGAGAUCAAUAAGGCCCAUGACCUAGGUCAGUGAUCUCCACUGCACUUGGGAGAGGUGCUCGCCUAAGGUCUCCACAUGUGGGAGAGCCUACAUCAUAAUUUGUGGCAGUGGGGGCUUGCGUUCGCGCAGCCCUCGU
Small nuclear RNA from Hibiscus syriacus, 161 nucleotides. RefSeq annotates it as U1 spliceosomal RNA. Lineage: Eukaryota; Viridiplantae; Streptophyta; Magnoliopsida; Malvales; Malvaceae. The record is from RefSeq and is a predicted model, not a curated record. The transcript has a single exon.